GUGGGGAAUCUUGCGCAAUGGGCGAAAGCCUGACGCAGCCAUGCCGCGUGAAUGAUGAAGGUCUUAGGAUUGUAAAAUUCUUUCACCGGGGACGAUAAUGACGGUACCCGGAGAAGAAGCCCCGGCUAACUUCGUGCCAGCAGCCGCGGUAAUACGAAGGGGGCUAGCGUUGCUCGGAAUUACUGGGCGUAAAGGGCGCGUAGGCGGACAGUUUAGUCAGAGGUGAAAGCCCAGGGCUCAACCUUGGAAUUGCCUUUGAUACUGGCUGUCUUGAGUACGGGAGAGGUGAGUGGAACUCCGAGUGUAGAGGUGAAAUUCGUAGAUAUUCGGAAGAACACCAGUGGCGAAGGCGACUCACUGGCGCGUUACUGACGCUGAGGCGCGAAAGCGUGGGGAGCAAACAGGAUUAGAUACCCUGGUAGUCC
This 425-nucleotide ribosomal RNA is filed under the name uncultured bacterium. Its description in RNAcentral is "partial 16S ribosomal RNA". It matches the Rfam family "Bacterial small subunit ribosomal RNA", at positions 354 to 796 of the family's 1533-position model. The record is from RNAcentral.